Molecule: long non-coding RNA, 200 nt
Filed under: Setaria italica (foxtail millet)
Lineage: Eukaryota; Viridiplantae; Streptophyta; Magnoliopsida; Poales; Poaceae
Description: long non-coding RNA (SITA_LNC006948)
Source: RNAcentral
UACAUUCAGGUGUUGGGUUGCAAAGACAUUUUACAAGGUGGGCAAGAGGCCUCCAUCACAGAUUUGUGGAGGAUUUGGUGAUGGUGACUGCAGUGUGAUUCAGAUCCCAUCUGAACAUGGAUUGGAAAUUGAUCUGAACCCUUGUCCUUGUCUUCCCAGCAAUGUCAAUUUCAUCAUCGUUAUGAGAGAGAGAGAGAGAG